GCCGUUAGCUCAGUUGGUAGAGCAGUUGACUUUUAAUCAAUUGGUCGCAGGUUCGAAUCCUGCACGACCCACCA
This 74-nucleotide transfer RNA is filed under the name Escherichia coli. RNAcentral's name for it is "tRNA-Lys". It matches the Rfam family "tRNA". From Rfam's summary of the family: Transfer RNA (tRNA) molecules are approximately 80 nucleotides in length. Their secondary structure includes four short double-helical elements and three loops (D, anti-codon, and T loops). Further hydrogen bonds mediate the characteristic L-shaped molecular structure. tRNAs have two regions of fundamental functional importance: the anti-codon, which is responsible for specific mRNA codon recognition, and the 3' end, to which the tRNAs corresponding amino acid is attached (by aminoacyl-tRNA synthetases). tRNAs cope with the degeneracy of the genetic code in two manners: having more than one tRNA (with a specific anti-codon) for a particular amino acid; and 'wobble' base-pairing, i.e. permitting non-standard base-pairing at the 3rd anti-codon position. The record is from RNAcentral. Lineage: Bacteria; Pseudomonadati; Pseudomonadota; Gammaproteobacteria; Enterobacterales; Enterobacteriaceae.